UUUUCUUGGUUUUGGUCGUUGUGUUGGGUGUGUGAUUCCAGGAGGGUGUAGGGGAGCUGGGUUUCGCUGCAGUCGCUGCUCAGAGCUGCCAUCAGAAGGAGAUCUCUGGCAGCGCUGGCGCUGUUUCCAUAUCGCAAACUGGGAGUGCACCCCAUGCUGGGCUGGGUGCAAGGCUCCUGAGAUGAGUGUGUGCAGAGGCCUGGGCUAGCUGCUCUCACAGAGCAGGGGCCUCCCAGCUGCUGGAUCCCUCUCCUCUCCCGCCUGCACUGCCAGCUCUGCUGGGGCCGAGCCAAGCGGUGCUGCCCAGCUUCUCAACAGCCUUGCAGGUAGAGGAGAAUCCAUAACAAGAUAAAGCAAAAAAGAAGAGACAAGUUUUCUUUCCCACUCCAGGAAGAAUAACCUGUUGGAUUAUAGUCUACAAACAGUGGAGAGUGCCAACAUGAGCAACGAGGGGCCUGAGAAUCCCAUUUCAUCUACACUGACUGAGGGCCUGAAGAGAAAGAGGGGGAGACCAAAGAAGCAGCCACAGGAGGAUGGUGGAAACACAGCUGUUAUCCCACAGGAUGCUGCGGAAUCACAGCCAGCGAAGAAACCACGAGGAAGGCCAAAAGGAAGCAAGAAAGCAGAACCUCCUGCUGGGAAGAGGCCAAGAGGGAGGCCCCGUAAGUGGCCUCAAGCAGUGGUCCAAGAAGGAGAGUCUCAGGGAGGAAAUCCUCUGGAAAGCAGUGACUUGAAUUUGAACUCGGCACCAGCCACACAAGGCAUCACUGGAAAAGAGGGAUCCCGGUCUGGCAAAACCGCUGGUCUUAGGAGAGGCCUGAGUGCCAUCCCUGCUGCAGCUCAGUAGUGUCCCACCUGUUCAUGUCUUGCUGAAGCCAGAGGACUGGGAAGCAAACAGGACUUUUCAUGUUGUGUUUCAGAUUCUUCAUUUGUGUAGUUUUAGCCAAGCUCUCUCCUGUUGCCUCUGGACUUGCUUACCACAAACAUCCAAACAAGGAUUUAGGGGAAGAAAUGGCAAAUGCCUUGUUGGAGAGAUCCCUUUUACAGUUCAUAGUAUAUCUUUUGUGAGUGUAAUGAUAAUUUCUCUUCAAAUUACUUGGAUAACCUGGUGCCUUGCCCUGCCACAGAGAGCAGUAUUUUAACAAAAGUUGACUUAACAGUACAGAUACAGGAAGGGAAUUCUGUUUACACAGCUAAUGCCCUGUCUGCUGUAUCACCUCUGGCAGACUGAUGGAGCAGUGCCAAGAGUGAAGUUUCGCUGUGUUGCCUUUGAGUCCUUUCUGGACUAUUUCAGAAAGAAAAACCUUCAUGGCAUUUCCAGCUUGCACUGUGCUGCUGUUCCAGUGGGCAGUACCUUGCAUGCUUUAGGGGAAAGUUUGCACCUUGAUGUCUUAGUAGAGAUUGAUUCUGAAAUUUUUAUCUUUAAAUGAUCAGCUCAGGGCCUUCUUCUCUAACUUCUUCUGGCCUGGUGCCUCUCCCCCUGAGUCUGAUGGCAGCUCCAAGUGCACAGUGCUUACAAGCUUAGUCACAGCCACUGGAUUUCAUCCCAUCAAAGAAGUGUCUGUAAAGAACCAGUCAUACAGAAGUUGCUUCCUUGCAGAGCCCCAGGAUUCAGUUUAAAUUAGUUGAAGUUCAGUCCCUAACAUGCGUGUGUGGGGUCCUCUAGUGUCACAACUAUGCAAAUAAAAGCUGUUGAUAGUUUCGUUUUGGGAGACAAGCAGUAGCCAGUUGGUUUGAGAUUGUUGCUGGCUGCUCUCAGUUUCACGCUGUUUUGCAGAUUUGUGCUUUUGGCGUCAGAGCUGAACUUGUUAAAUUCUGAGCAACUCAGGAUAUUUCCAAUAUCCAGUUGCAAAUAGUGAAAUCCCAGUGCUACUUUCCAUCUCCUGGAUGUUCUGCCUGCCUGUUAAAGGGACAAAGUGGGUAUUUCAAUUAUCUCUGACAGGAUGUAAAAUUGGCUAGCUUUACAGUGUUAAAUAUUUAAACAGAACAUAAUUGGCUUUAAAUUUAUGGUGGUGCAUAGCAGAAACCCAUGAAAUGGCUGUAUAUAUUGAACUCAUUUAUUAUCUUUUCAUCAGAGUUCUGUUCCCUUGGCAAGUAUUUAUUUAACACAAGAAAAUGUAUGCAGAAUUAAGAAGAAGGGCUGAUUGGAGAAAUAAUGAGGGGAAAGUGGGGUUUUUUUCCUUUAGGAUCAUUUUGUCCAAUCCACCCAGUUUAGUACUGAUGACUCCAUUAAUUCUGCUUAGUGGUGAUGAGAAUCCCACUCUUAAUCCUGUGUGGUGUCUGGUGUGCCCAGAGGGUGCUCUCUUGAUAUGGAGCUUGGUGGUCACAGCAGAAAACUGCAUAACAGAUCAUCUUUGUGUCUCCCCUACCAGACAGCAGAGAAAUGAGGGACUAAAUGGAUUAGAUCACAGGGGCUGACCUAAAUCCUGUGCUAUGGGAUGAGCUGUGCUGCCAGACACAAGAGUUUGACCCCAGCUCCUGCUGUGGGGUGACUCCAGGUGGGACAGGACACCGGUGAGUCUGUGCUGUUCAUGCUCUCAUGAGAAGGUGCAGCUGGUGCUCCCCUGAAUUCUGCUGCCCUUCAGUCCACACAGGUUCAGCUGCAGUUCAUGUCUGUGUUCAAAGGCCACUCCUGUAGUAGACCAAAACACUUCACCAAUUUCUGUGUCUGAUUUUCAGGUGAAUUUGCAGGUUCAGUGCUCUGUCUGCACGGCUUUACUGCCUGUUUAAUUAACCCCUGCUACCUGAGAGCAAUAGCUGGUGCAGAGUGAGACUGGAACCUCAGCUUCUAAAUGGAUUAGGGAUUACAUCUGUAAGAGACUCAAGCUUUUCCUUUGACAUCAGUCAGUCCUGUCUCAGUGGUGGCAUGGAAUAGGGGUGCAAACUGUGUUGCCUAGAUAGUAAAUCCAUCUGCUUUAGGUUAGCAGUAUUCCUCUGGGAAGUGCACGCCGUGUACUUUUCUUAAAAUAAAAUUUUAAAAAAUCUAGCCUUUGCCACCUCUUGCCACUCUGCUGAAAAACCACAGUAAAGAACUUGUUUCCAUAAAAAUGCAAGGGUGGAAAGAGAACAAACAGAAUUCCACUAUUUUAGGAGGAGCUCUUCUGUGUGUAGUUGAAACCCCAAGCCAUAACUUCAGCUUCCGUAUUUACACAGAAUUAGAAUAGAAGUCAAUGCCUGUGAAAGGUGGGCAGAAUUCCAGACAUCUUCAGGGAGCCAGGAUCUCACACUGGAUCACUUGGAUUGUCUUUUUUGAAAUGAUAAACAUUUUUAUUUCCCAUAUAGUUAAUUACCUUUUCUGUGUAGACAAACCUACCUCUAAGCAAGUGCAUGUCAAGUGUUUUUAAGCUCAGGCAGUUUUGGUGUGACUCGGCCAAAAAUAAGAGGUCACUGCAGUUGGUUAAACCACAGGAGGUGACCGAGGUUUGUUGUCUAGCAAAGUUUGGAAGUUUCCCAUAAAUGGUUUUGGUAAAGGCAAAGAGAGUGUUGGCAACUUGCAAAUUAGCCUUGAAGUUUGUUUUAAAUAAAGGUAUUAAACAAAAGCCCCCCAGGCUCCUGCUUUGCCUCCUCCUUGUGCAGCACUCUCAGCACGCACACACAUCGCUGGACAAGGUGAGUGUCUCUUGACCUGGAGUUUUGGGGAUUAUAAACAAAAAUUUGGUCAUUCAGGAGCAGCCCCAGAUUGAUGUGAGAACAAGAAAUAAUGAGCAGGAGGAACCCCACAUGGAGAAAACCAGACAGGCUCCAAAGGCCAAAUGUGGGUGCCUAAUUCCAUCCUUCUGUGUGUCUUGGAGGCUUGAUUGGAACACAAGCCAGUUCUGCUUCACAUGUACACCCAGAAGUCUCCACAGUUGAGUCUGUUUCUCCCCUACAUUGUUCAGUGGGCUGUUUAGCUUUUCAUACAAUUAAUUCUCUGCCUGUGCAUUGCCUCUUCAGUUCAUCUGACAGCUUUCCUAACUAGGCCCAAGUUUUGGGGCUGUGGGCCAGAUGAGGCAGCAGCAAAUGUGAAAUUAUCAAGUGUCAUUGUGUUCUGUUCCCCGUGGUGUGGGCAGAGCUGCAGGUGAGCUGAGGAACCCCUGCUUUGUACAGGAAUUCAGUUCAAGGGUAAGUUGGGAUUUCUUUUUGUACUCUGGAUGCCCAGGACUGGCAGCUGGAGGCUCCUGCCCCCCUGACUUCUCCAGCAAGCCUUUCUGAAGAGAUCUGAGUUUCUGUGCUGUAGAACUCUAAACUUUGACCCCCACAGAGCUUCCCCCUCCAAGUUUUUCACAUUUAUUUCAGUUUUUAAAAGAGCAUUUAAAAAUCUGCACACAAAUUACCAGCAGAUACUGGGGAUGCACUCCCAGCAGUUUCUGUGGGAAAAUGCAAAUGAUGGGGGGGAAAAAGACAAUCAUACUAGACUUUCAUGUAAAUAGUUUAAUUAUAUUUCAAUGCUUUAAAACACAGAAACACUUGAAUUAAAUUACAUCAUAAUGCUUCUGCUAUUAUACAUCCAAGAACUGUGAGAGGAGAGGCGCUAUGCAACUAAAAGAAUACUCCAGUAUGAGCCCAGCCAUUCCCCAUAAUAUUCUUUUAGUCUUAUUAUCUGUACUUCUUUAUUCUAAGGGCAGUCAUCACAGGACAAAGCCUACCAUCACAGGGAGAGUGGUUCAAGAGAAUUCCUCUGUAGGUGUGUUUGUUGUGCUGCAGCACACUGGGCUGAGGCGCUGAGCAAACAGCUCAGCUCACACUUGCCUUUUGUUGAGUUUGAAACAACCAUUGACCUUCCACUGCUGAGAGUUCUGGGGAAAACACGAUUUCAGACAGCUGGACACUCCUGCCCUGUGCAUCCCUGUGCUGCUGCAGAGCAGGAAAGGGGGCAGGCAGGGCAGGGAGAAAGCAGAUGUGUGGCUGCUCCCAGUGAACACUUGCAGGAGAGGAGAAGUUUGUGUGUUGGGGGGUGUUUGUCUCUCAGCUGAUCACUAGAAUACCCACAGACAGACUCAAAAUUCUAAGGACCUAAUUUGCAUUAUGCUGAGUAUUUGUACCUGUGCACCUUCACUCCAGCAGCAUCCCUGGGGGCAAACAGCAGCAGCCUGGGAGUGCCCCCUGCCACAUCUCCUGGCAGUGAGGACUGGGCUGUUUUCCAUGCUCCAAUCCCUACUAUCCUCCCUGGAAGCCCUAGUUCUGAAAAGACAGCUGGAUACUGAAAAACAAAACCAACUCAGCCCUGUGGGAAGCUGUGUCAGUGGAAGAGGGAAUGCUGGUAAAGAGCUGUGCCCUGCAGGGGUCAGGGACAGGAAAAGGGCCCAGGAAGAGUCUGCAUUUAAUGAAUAUGGGAAAAACAAUCACACAGG
Long non-coding RNA from Prinia subflava (tawny-flanked prinia), 5330 nucleotides. RefSeq lists it as uncharacterized. The record is from RefSeq and is a predicted model, not a curated record. The transcript has 6 exons. Lineage: Eukaryota; Metazoa; Chordata; Aves; Passeriformes; Cisticolidae.